AAAUUGAAGAGUUUGAUCAUGGCUCAGAUUGAACGCUGGCGGCAGGCCUAACACAUGCAAGUCGAACGGUAGCACAGAGAGCUUGCUCUCGGGUGACGAGUGGCGGACGGGUGAGUAAUGUCUGGGAAACUGCCUGAUGGAGGGGGAUAACUACUGGAAACGGUGGCUAAUACCGCAUAACGUCGCAAGACCAAAGAGGGGGACCUUCGGGCCUCUUGCCAUCAGAUGUGCCCAGAUGGGAUUAGCUUGUUGGUGAGGUAACGGCUCACCAAGGCGACGAUCCCUAGCUGGUCUGAGAGGAUGACCAGCCACACUGGAACUGAGACACGGUCCAGACUCCUACGGGAGGCAGCAGUGGGGAAUAUUGCACAAUGGGCGCAAGCCUGAUGCAGCCAUGCCGCGUGUAUGAAGAAGGCCUU
RNAcentral lists this ribosomal RNA (419 nucleotides) under Salmonella enterica. RNAcentral's name for it is "bacterial SSU rRNA". It matches the Rfam family "Bacterial small subunit ribosomal RNA", at positions 1 to 418 of the family's 1533-position model. RNAcentral also lists the same sequence under 5 other names. Lineage: Bacteria; Pseudomonadati; Pseudomonadota; Gammaproteobacteria; Enterobacterales; Enterobacteriaceae. The record is from RNAcentral.